AUAGGGAUCUCAGACUAAAGACUUCCUCACAGCUUGAGUUCUUAUACAUUACUGUCUCUCAUAAAUAUGCACCAAUACACAAAUAAUUUCUAUUUUGAAGAUACAAAACGUAAUAUCAACAGAUGAAAUCCAAAUACAGCCAUAGAGAAAGCUGCUCUUCCAGAUGGAUCUGCUUUUUAGAUUCUUGUCUGGCUCUUCAUCUUCAGUGGGAUGUUUUCACUGGCCUCUGUGAAUACCCUGGUUCAGAUUCUGGAGUAUUCAGAACCGUAAUCUGCAUUCCUUUUCAAUCAGUUGUAGUCUUGGUGAUGAUCAGAAGCAGCUGACUAGGAAGUACUGUGGGGAAUUAAAAAUAAAUGCUGUGGAAAGUAACAUGAAACGUGGUGGUUUGGGACAACUGCUGUACAACAGGAUAAGCCUAUAUUUGUAUCAAACUAAAAAGAGAUGAAGAUUAUUGCAGGAAAAAAGAGCAGACUGGACUGAUUGUAGGAGAAGUAUUCUUUCCAAAUGACCCGAUGACCCAUCAAUUUAAUUUAUUUCAUUUAAAUUGUAUGUAUUGAGAUUCCAGCCAUGAAAUUGAUUGUAUAAUGGUGCUCCUCUGAGCCUGGGGGAGUCUUGCUGAAGCAUGGGUACUGUAAUAUGCCUAGGCUUUUGUGUAUGUGGAACCAUAAAUACCAGUGGAGCUCACAGCUGUCCUCACUGCCAAGGAAUUUCUGCAUCUUAUUCAUACAUCUCUAGCUAUUUAUUGAUAUUUUAUUUCUGGGGAUUGCAUCUUAGGAAGCGUGGAUCUCAGUUACAUGAUCCUUAAGGUGGAAUAGGCCAACUCCAGUGAGCCUUUAUUGAUUUUAGUGCUUACUGGGGAGGCAAUAUAGUGUCUGGUGUCAUAAGGUGCUGAGAUAGAAAAUCUGCAUGCUUCUAAGUAAUGAGCAGUAACAAACUGAAGCUCUUUCUAAGUCUCCUUUCAUCUCCUGUGUUAUAAAGCAAUACCUUAGUACAAAGAGGAUUAAGUAAACAGAUAAGAUUGACUGGGUCCAUAAUCAUUAGAGAACUGUAUAUUCCCCAGCCAUUAGCAAGUGGAAGAACAACAGAUAAUGGAUGUGAAGUAUUUAGUGUUCUCCAUCUUCUGUAUCCUUUUUGCCUGAUCUAUGUUUGAUAAUCUCUUAGGAUCAAAAUGGUUCUCCUUGUGUGGAUACUGCUUUUGCCCACUCACUAGGAAAUCAGGAAGAUUUGAAGUAAAACAUAUUUACUGCUGUUAUCUGCGCUGGGAAGGAGUAGAGAAAUUCAUAGAUAAAAUCAUGGUCAUUGGAAAGAAGUGCUGGAAGAGGAAUUUGUGUGUGUGAGAUCCCAUGAUUAGUUUUACUUCUCUGUACACUCGUUUCAUGUGUUUUGGGUAUGGAAAUACAAUAGCUUAUCAAAUGUAUAUUACUUCUUUGCUACUCUCCAUGUGUAUUAUCUAAGUCUAUUUGAGUUGAUAGAAAUUGGGAUUUUUUUCCUAUUCGUUGUUCAAAUGUGUGACAAUAUACUGCUUUACAUUUCAGGGAGAUAUAAGCAAGAAUCUUAAAUAAAAUCAAAUUUUUUUUAAAAAAAAAGCAAGAAAAAUUGAUAGACCUGAAGAUGAUCAAAAUUCACCUUCUCAUUUUAAAGGUGAAAAUGCUGAGAAUCUGGGUUGUCAAACAGGUAGUUUGAUUUUUAAUAGUAGUAUAUAUGUGCUGUGCAGUGUAGGAUUGUGGGGGCAACACACUUCCUAACCAGUCUUACAAGUCAAUUUUCUAUCAGUGUUAGGGGUCUAUCUGAUGAGGACUGUAUGCUAUGACGUUUCUCCUUCAUUUUAACUUCUCUGUGAGCUCCAUUGUUUUCCACUGAGUUUGUCUGGUAAAUCACAGCCUCUGUGAUGGCUUUUAACAACAGUCAUCAAACCACUCUAACUUCUUGGCAUACACUGAAGUCAGAAAAAUAUAUUUAACAAAUUGACACUGUACAAAUGCACAGACCAUAUGGCAUCUUGUUGAAGUAACUAGAUCUAUUUUAGUAUGCAAAUAGUAACUUAAUAUUAAAAACAAGCAUCUUUUCUGAUGCGACUAUACUUUGAGGUUGGGGGGGAAAUAGAAUUUUUACUUCUGCAUAGUAGGUUACUUUUGAUUCCAAACAGGACUGGUAAAGGGAUGAAACUGUAGAUUGAAUCUGUUCCUCAGCAUUGGUCAAACCGAAAAUCUGGUUUUCCUUUCCCUCCUUUCCUUUGAAAGAACUUCUAGUUUCUUAGGAAUUUAUUUAUAG
Numida meleagris (helmeted guineafowl) is the source of this 2271-nucleotide long non-coding RNA. RefSeq lists it as uncharacterized. The transcript is spliced from 5 exons. Lineage: Eukaryota; Metazoa; Chordata; Aves; Galliformes; Numididae. The record is from RefSeq and is a predicted model, not a curated record.